Poecilia latipinna (sailfin molly) is the source of this 1915-nucleotide long non-coding RNA. RefSeq lists it as uncharacterized. The transcript has 2 exons. Lineage: Eukaryota; Metazoa; Chordata; Actinopteri; Cyprinodontiformes; Poeciliidae. The record is from RefSeq and is a predicted model, not a curated record.
UAACAGAUUCUUGUGAAUAUUCGUUAUCAUUAUAUGACCCAAAAUGAAAAAGAGUUUGACUCUCCUGACUUAGCUCAAACCAUCUUCACAUGUUCAAAUGGCCUACUCAAAGUCCACACCACUUUCAUUGAAAUAUCACAUUGAAAAGCCAAUAACAACAUUGAUGUAACACAAGGUGAAAAAGGUUAAAGGGGAGUAAAUACAUUUGCGACGCUGUGUUGAGCUGCAGCUACACUGAAGGGAAGUGAGGUUCGUUAUCCCUCAGCGUCGGUCACUCAGCACUGAGCCGCACACCGGGGCAUGCUGGGAAAUCAAUCUGAGCAGGAAAACAGUCGGUAUGGAUUCAUUUACACAAAAACAACCUGAAACAAACAAAUCCCACCCAGUUUCUGCUGCUCAGCGUCAUUACAGCCUCAGCGCUGUCAUUAAAUACCUUCACAGCUUCAACCUGCAGAUGAUUACAUCCUCACAGCUUCUUUUUGCGCAAUUAUCAGGAGCGGGAAUCUGACUCAGAGGCAUGCAGCUUGACUCCAGCUUCAGCUCACACCUGCAGAAAGAAAUCUGUGAUCAGGAUGAAGUUUUAUCAUUCCACGCUUUUUGUGGCGGAGAAUAAACGAUUGUGUGUUUGAAUCGUCAGAGUUUAUCUGCAGAGUCGAGUCAGAGCAGCAGGAGAAUGUGGUUUCUGAGAUCUGUGCUCCACUGCAGCUGGGUUAAAAUGUGUGUGUGCGUGUGUGUGUGUUAGAUUGAGUGCUGGGCCAGAGUGCAGCGAGACACAGGUGUAUUAAAUUGGGUCAGCGUUUUCAUUUCCCAGGGUGAGCACACAAACACACAUUAACACCACUCACUGUGAACCCUGACGUAAACACACCUACACACACUUAUACAAUCCACAUCAGCUCACACACUCCGCUGAUAAGUCGGAUUAGGAGUUAUUUUUUGCAUCGAGACAAAGAUUCCUCCUGAAUCAGACAGCAGAAGAGGAAAGGAGGCUGCUGCUCCUUGGCCCAACAUGUGUGUGUCUGUUUGUGUUGUGUGUGUGUGUGUGUGUGUGUGUGUGUGUGUGUGUGUGUGUGUGUCGGUGAGUAAAAGUCGUGGCCAUACGCUGGUUUUAAUCGUGUUAGUCCGUGAACCAGACCAGGGUAAUAACAGUCAUGAAACAGGUUAAAAACACAAGACAAAAUCAGCAAGUUAGUAAAAUUCUUACUAAGAAUGUUUUAUUAAAAUAAAUGCCAAGAGGUUAAUAAGAAAAAUAACAGCAUACAUCAUGAAAACUAAAUGCAAGCAUGUAAAAAUACUUAUGACAAGGAAACUAAUAAAGUCGCUAAUGAGUUAAACAAGCUGGGAGUCGGCAAGAAAACCAAAAAUCUAACAGAGAAGAAGGCAAAACUCCCCACAGGAGACAGGUUGAGAUGGAGAAGAGGUGGUGGGAGGGCAGGGGGAGCUGUGGGUUUCAUAAAAAUUAAGAAAAAAAACCACUCAGAAACAUGAUUAAUAUACAUAUAAAAUGAGAUUAGAAAAAUACAUUAUAAACCUGUAACAAUGGCUGUUAAUUACAUUAUCAUACAUGUAGUAGGCAGGCCAGAGAGAAUACGGUAGGUAUAGAGUCAACUUUCACCUGAUGGACUUAUCCAGCCUUUCACAAUGACACAGCAUGGUGGAACAUUGCAGAGGGGAUUUUCUUAAUACUGUCAGAUGCUGAUUUGCCAUCUCUUUCUCUACUUUAAUAUUGCAUUUCAAUUUAAAAUCAUAACACUGAAGAAGAAAACAAAAAAGGAAAUCAUAAUAACUCAUUGACCUUUUGGUGUAACAGCGAUAGAGAGAAAACAGACUGCCGACGGCUCUGUUGGAUCCCAGAAUUUCUCAAUUUCAUUUUUGUUUUUUUCACCUUUCAGCAAUAAGCUGUCAGUCGUUUCAA